RNAcentral lists this ribosomal RNA (524 nucleotides) under uncultured marine eukaryote. Its description in RNAcentral is "SSU rRNA". It matches the Rfam family "Eukaryotic small subunit ribosomal RNA", at positions 583 to 1113 of the family's 1831-position model. The record is from RNAcentral.
UUCCAGCUCCUAAAACGUAUAUUAAAGUUGUUGCGGUUAAAAAGCUCGUAGUUGGAUUUCUGUUGAGAUCGGUCGGUCCCCACUCUGUGGGCGUAUCUGAUAUGGUCUUGGCAUCCUCAUAGGGAACCGGAGGCACUUCACUGUGUGGCCGGGAAUCUAUGACUUUUACUUUGAGGAAAUUAGAGUGUUCAAAGCAGGCGACCGCCUUGAAUACGUUAGCAUGGAAUAAUAAUAUAGGACUUUGGGCCCUAUUUUGUUGGUUUCUAGGACUAAAGUAAUGAUUAACAGGGAUAUUUGGGGCAUUUGUAUUAACCGGUCAGAGGUGGAAUUCUUGGAUUCGGUUACGACAAACUAAUGCGAAAGCAUUUGCCAAGGAUGUUUUUCAUUGAUCAAGAACGAAAGUGUGGGGAUCGAAGAUGAUUAGAUACCGUCGUAGUCUACACCAUAAACUAUGCCGAUUAGAGAUUGGAGGUUGCCUAUUCUUAGCUCCUUCAGCAUCUUUCGAGAAAUCAAAAUUUUGGGUU